AACGAACGCUGGCGGCAGGCCUAACACAUGCAAGUCGAGCGGACCUUUCGGGGUCAGCGGCGGACGGGUGAGUAACGCGUGGGAAUAUGCCCUUCUCUACGGAAUAGUCCUGGGAAACUGGGGGUAAUACCGUAUACGCCCUUUGGGGGAAAGAUUUAUCGGGGAAGGAUUAGCCCGCGUUGGAUUAGGUAGUUGGUGGGGUAAUGGCCUACCAAGCCGACGAUCCAUAGCUGGUUUGAGAGGAUGAUCAGCCACACUGGGACUGAGACACGGCCCAGACUCCUACGGGAGGCAGCAGUGGGGAAUCUUAGACAAUGGGGGCAACCCUGAUCUAGCCACGCCGCGUGAGUGAUGAAGGCCUUAGGGUUGUAAAGCUCUUUCAGCUGGGAAGAUAAUGACGGUACCAGCAGAAGAAGCCCCGGCUAACUCCGUG
Molecule: ribosomal RNA, 433 nt
Filed under: uncultured bacterium
Lineage: Bacteria
Description: partial 16S ribosomal RNA
Rfam family: Bacterial small subunit ribosomal RNA
Source: RNAcentral